CUACGGGAUGCUGCAGUGGGGAAUAUUGCACAAUGGAGGAAACUCUGAUGCAGCAACGCCGCGUGGAGGAUGACACUUUUCGGAGCGUAAACUCCUUUUAUAUAGGAAGAAGAUGACGGUACUAUAUGAAUAAGCGCCGCUAACUCCGUGCCAGCAGCCGCGGUAAUACGGAGGGCGCAGGCGUUACGCGGAAUCACUGGGCGUAAAGAGCGUGUAGGCGGAUUAAAAAGUCAGAAGUGAAAUCCUAUAGCUUAACUAUAGAACUGCUUCUGAAACUCUUAAUCUAGAAUAUGGGAGAGGUAGAUGGAAUUUCUGGUGUAGGGGUAAAAUCCGUAGAGAUCAGAAGGAAUACCGAUUGCGAAGGCGAUCUACUAGAACAUUAUUGACGCUGAGACGCGAAAGCGUGGGGAGCAAACAGGAUUAGAUACCCGAGUAGUC
Molecule: ribosomal RNA, 438 nt
Filed under: uncultured bacterium
Lineage: Bacteria
Description: partial 16S ribosomal RNA
Rfam family: Bacterial small subunit ribosomal RNA
Source: RNAcentral